This 493-nucleotide ribosomal RNA is filed under the name uncultured bacterium. RNAcentral's name for it is "partial 16S ribosomal RNA". It matches the Rfam family "Bacterial small subunit ribosomal RNA", at positions 30 to 523 of the family's 1533-position model. The record is from RNAcentral.
AUUGAACGCUGGCGGCAUGCCUUACACAUGCAAGUCGAACGGUAACAGGUUAAGCUGACGAGUGGCGAACGGGUGAGUAAUAUAUCGGAAUGUGCCCAGUCGUGGGGGAUACCGUAGCGAAAGCUACGCUAAUACCGCAUACGAUCUACGGAUGAAAGCGGGGGAUCGCAAGACCUCCCGCGAUUGGAGCGGCCGAUAUCAGAUUAGGUUGUUGGUGAGGUAAAAGCUCACCAAGCCUGCGAUCUGUAGCUGGUCUGAGAGGACGACCAGCCACACUGGAACUGAGACACGGUCCAGACUCCUACGGGAGGCAGCAGUGGGGAAUUUUGGACAAUGGACGCAAGUCUGAUCCAGCAAUGCCGCGUGCAGGACGAAGGCCUUCGGGUUGUAAACUGCUUUUGUACGGAACGAAACGGUGAGCUCUAAUACAGUUUGCUAAUGACGGUACCGUAAGAAUAAGCACCGGCUAACUACGUGCCAGCAGCCGCGGUAA